This 204-nucleotide microRNA precursor is filed under the name Oryza nivara. RNAcentral's name for it is "MIR812 microRNA precursor family". It matches the Rfam family "MIR812 microRNA precursor family". Lineage: Eukaryota; Viridiplantae; Streptophyta; Magnoliopsida; Poales; Poaceae. The record is from Rfam by way of RNAcentral.
AAAAAGACAAACCCUGGUUUCCGUGUCCAACGUUUGACCAUCCGUAUUAUUUGAAAAAAUUAUAAAAAAAUUAAAAAGAUAAGUCAUGCAUAAAGUAUUAACCAUAUUUUAUCAUCUAACAACAAUGAAAAUACUAAUUAUAAAAAAAUUUCAUAUAAGACGGACGGUCAAACGUUGGCACGGAAACCUAGGGUUUAUCUUUUU